This 1515-nucleotide ribosomal RNA is filed under the name human gut metagenome. RNAcentral describes it as "bacterial LSU rRNA". It matches the Rfam family "Bacterial large subunit ribosomal RNA", at positions 466 to 2073 of the family's 2925-position model. The record is from RNAcentral.
CUAAAUACUACCCAGUGACCGAUAGCGUAUAGUACUGUGAAGGAAAGGUGAAAAGCACCCCGGGAGGGGAGUGAAAAAGAACCUGAAACCCUGUGCCUACAAGCACCUAGAGCGCGUCAAAGCGUGAUAGGGUACUUUUUGUAGAACGGUCCGGCGAGCGAUUGUAUGCAGCAAGGUUAAGGACUUAAGGUCUGGAGCCGAAGCGAAAGCGAGUUUGAAAAGGGCGUUAAGUUGCAUAUAAUGGGCCCGAAACCGGGUGACCUACCCAUGGUCAGGUUGAAGUGGAAGUAAAAUUCCAUGGAGGACCGAACCGACCUCCGUUGAAAAGGCGGCGGAUGAACUGUGGGUAGCGGAGAAAUUCCAAUCGAACCCGGAGAUAGCUGGUUCUCCCCGAAAUAGUUUUAGGACUAGCCUCAAGUUAGAUACCUGGAGGUAAAGCACUGAAUAGCCUAGCGGCCGAGAGGUUAGCGAAGCUUAUCAAACUCAGAAUGCCAGAGUAUUGAUGCUUGGGAGUCAGACAGUGUCAGAUAAAUGUCAUUGUCAAAAGGGAAACAGCCCAGAUCUACAGCUAAGGUCCCAAAGUCAGGUUAAGUGGAAAACGAUGUGAAGAUACGUAGACAACCAGGAUGUUGGCUCAGAAGCAGCCACACAUUCAAAGAGUGCGUAAUAGCUCACUGGUCGAGCGUCUUUGCGCGGAGAAUUUAACGGGGCUAAACCUGACACCGAAGCUUAGGCAAUACAGCAAUGUAUUGGGUAGGGGAGCGUUGUAUACGCGGUGAAACAGUAGCGCAAGCGGCUGUGGAGUGUAUAGAAGUGAGAAUGCCGGAAUGAGUAGCGCGAAUGCAGUGAGAAUCUGCAUGGCCGAAAGCCUCAGGUUUCUGGAGGAAGGUUCGUCCGCUCCAGGUUAGUCGGGAGCUAAGGUGAGGCCUAACGGCGUAGCCGAUGCACAGACGGUAGAGAUUCCGUCACCACCAAAAGAGUUAAACACAGGGACACAUUUGAAGUCUCGGAGCCGGGUGUUGGUUCCGGUAGCGAUCGAGGGAAGUUAGUACCGAAGUCUGAGAUGGAAGAUGGCGAGAAAAGCUGUGUGUAUUUCUGCGGUGCCCGUACCGCAAACCGACACAGGUAGGUAGGAAGAAGAUUCUAAGGCCAACGGGAGAAGGGUUGUUAAGGAACUCGGCAAAUUGACCCCGUAACUUCGGGAGAAGGGGUGCUCCAGAGAUGGAGCCGCAGAGAAUCGGCCCAAGCAACUGUUUACCAAAAACACAGGUUUGUGCUAAAUCGAAAGAUGACGUAUACGAGCUGACGCCUGCCCGGUGCUGGAAGGUUAAGAGGAGAUGUGCAAGCAUUGAAUCGAAGCCCCAGUGAACGGCGGCCGUAACUAUAACGGUCCUAAGGUAGCGAAAUUCCUUGUCAGGUAAGUUCUGACCCGCACGAAAGGCGUAAUGAUUUGGGCACUGUCUCAACAGCCCGCCCGGCGAAAUUGUAGUACCGGUGAAGAUGCCGGUUACCCGC